AAACAAAAAAGAUUUCCUGUAACGGUAGUAUUGAUUCAAAAUUGUUGAAAUUACCAAGGAUGAUAUGCUCUUUAAGAUGUAAAAAGUGGGGGAAGGGGAACCUAACAGCACAUACAUCAAUAUCAGGGAUAUGGAGAGGUGAUGUGAAGAGAAACAGAGAAAAAAAACCGGGAUUUGAUACUCGAAUCGAUCGUAGUCGUUAAGAAAGGGUACAAGCUAUUCGACGAGAGUUAAAUGUCGACUUAAAAUUUUAAGUAAAUAAUUAAAAUUCUUAGAAAGUGUAGUAAAAAAUUAAUUGAACAUUUUUAACAUUAUCAGAAGAAUUUAAAGUAUUUUUAAUAAAAGUAAAAUACCAAAAAGAUCAAAAUGUUUUAACGAUUUUUUUAAAUAUCAACGUUUAGAUCGUUUAAUUGGAACAAUUAUAAAGUACUCGGAAAGAGUGAUUUAAAAAUGUUUGAUCAUUUUAAUAUGUCCUAUUAAUAUUAUCAUUAUUGAUAUUAUCUUUUAAAUAAUGAAUUUUAUGUUGAAAUAUGAUUUAUAUAAAGUUUAUUAUUUAUUAAGGGUUUUCAGGAAAAUUAAUAAGACAGGUCAAUCGAAUUAUAUUUAUUUAUAUAAGUACAUAGGUACAUAUUUAUAAUUUUUGUUCGUACGUAACUGUUAUGGUACUAAGUUUUAUGAUUCAACCAUUGGAAGAAAUAUUAAAAGAUUUCAUAACAAUUAACGUGGAAAAAAAAGCGAUUGAUAUAUCAUUAACUGUUUGUUAUGUAGCAACAUAUAUAUUUCUUUGUACUAUCCGAAAUCUUGUGUCGAAAUACCUGAUAAAUAAUAACAAUGUAUUAUUUUCAAAGAAAAAACAAAGAAAGAGAUGAAAUAAAGUGUUAAGUUAAUAUUUCGUUUAAUACCCAAUACAUAGCUUUCGCAACGAUCCUCGCAUUUAGUUAAAUUGGAAGAUUCAGCGUAUAUUUAUCUAGUAUCCUUAAACCGAAUAUUCGCACAAGUAUUAAACGAAAAUAUGAAAGCUUAUUAUGAAGAUUCAGUGAAGAAGGUACAUAUCGAUGCUUGGCAAUCUGUUUUUCAUCUUUGCGGAAUCAAUGAUUAAACAGAUAGGUUUUUCGUGAAUCCACCCCAUAUUCCCAUGUCAUGUCCCAAAAAAUCAGGAACUGCUGGCCCUAAUGAUAUAUACAUCAAGGAUUGUUACAAAAGUGUAUUUCAUUUGAUCAAUUGAAAUAUAAUAUUACAGGCUACAAGUUUUCUUACAUCCGAUCCUGUAAUAUUUUUAUUAAUAAUAAUUUACUUAAUUAAAAUUAUUAAUAGAUGGAGACAGAAUUAUUUUCGCUAGUCCGUCAUAAGUUUAU
This is a long non-coding RNA of Vespula pensylvanica (western yellowjacket), 1355 nucleotides long. RefSeq lists it as uncharacterized. The record is from RefSeq and is a predicted model, not a curated record. Lineage: Eukaryota; Metazoa; Arthropoda; Insecta; Hymenoptera; Vespidae. The transcript is spliced from 3 exons.